AAUUGAAUGGGACCGUAAAUAAGCAAAAUUGCCGUAUUUACGCCACUGAAAAUCCUGAGAUUUCACUUCUUUCCACAACAAUUAAGCCAAAUACUUACAAAAGUGCGAGCUUGACCAUGGAGGAAUUGACGAAACUAUUCGACGAUUUGGAAAGGCUAUAUAAAAUAUUGCUAGGGGAUAACGCUAAGAUUACAACUACUACAAAAGAAGAUUCCACUAGUUUUUCAAAAUCACAUUCAACCAUUCCUCCUCCAAUAACAUCAGAGGGUCGUACGACUUCAGGCUUUCAAGUUGAUCCACAUAAUAAAACGGGAAGUGAAACCUCACAAAUUCAUAAUAAUUUGAAUCUUCAACCAGUUGUGGACGCAAUUCAGCAAUUAAAGAUGGCAAUAUUUCAUGAUUUUAAUGCCUUCAAAAAAGAUUAAGACGAAAGAAUGGAAAAACUGACCCAACUGCUUAAAGAGCGUGAGAGUGAUAAGAAAAACGUUGGUAAGCGGACAAACCAGAACGCUACACCUAAGAACGAUCAGUUGGAGGGAAGGCCGGAAGAAAAAAUGGAAAAAAAGAUCGAUGAGAUAUUGGAAACAACAAAAGGUUUAAAAGAAAGUGAAGAAUCUGAAGAUGAAAAGAAUCAUGAAGUCACCACACAAUUUCAAAAUAUAACUCAAAAACCUAAUCACAAUAUUAAUAAUGUUACUGUCAUUAACAAAAACAAUACUACAACUCUCCCAACAAAAAAUAUGCAAACAACUUUAGGAUGGUCAACUUUGAAACCUCAAAAUAAGUGAGGAUUUUAAUAAGAAAUUUAAACCUACCUAAAUGUUAUUACAUCAUUUAAUUUUUAAUUUGUUGAUGAAAAUUAUGAAGAAAUGAUUACGCCUGGAAAAGUAUGAUA
This is a long non-coding RNA of Drosophila ficusphila, 895 nucleotides long. RefSeq lists it as uncharacterized. The record is from RefSeq and is a predicted model, not a curated record. Lineage: Eukaryota; Metazoa; Arthropoda; Insecta; Diptera; Drosophilidae. The transcript has 3 exons.